This 316-nucleotide long non-coding RNA is filed under the name Elaeis guineensis (African oil palm). Its description in RNAcentral is "long non-coding RNA (EGUI_LNC063392)". Lineage: Eukaryota; Viridiplantae; Streptophyta; Magnoliopsida; Arecales; Arecaceae. The record is from RNAcentral.
GUCACUUUGAGCAUUAGAUCAAAUGGAUGAAUUAUAUGGUAACCAUACGCCAGUAGAUUCUAGAAUAUUGUUUUGUAAUACUUCGACCUAUCCGGACGUCGGAUCACUAUUGCUAGAUGGUUAUAUCGAUUAGUAUAAAAAAUUAUUCCUAUGCUACUGGCUUAGGUUCGAACCUAUGAGAUCACACACAUUAGAAGAUUUGAUCAGAUCUGAUGACUGAAGAGUCCAAUUGGAUUGUGACUCUGGUGAGCAGUUCCACUGGAAUUGGGACUCUGGAGGAGUCUCACUAGAAUUGAGACUCUACUAUUUAUGAAGA